AAGUCGUAACAAGGUUUCCGUAGGUGAACCUGCGGAAGGAUCAUUACCGGGAGAGGGGCUUCGCGCUCCCGGGAGUUUCGGCCUCCACCUCUUCACCCAUUGAGUACCUACCUUUGUUGCUUUGGCGGGCCCAUGGGGUUCGCCCCCAGCCGGCCUCCGCGCUGGUGAGCGCCCGUCAGAGGCCCUCGAAAUUCUGUUUAUAGUGACGUCCGAGUUAAACACAAAUAGUUAAAA
RNAcentral lists this unclassified non-coding RNA (234 nucleotides) under plant metagenome. RNAcentral describes it as "partial contains small subunit ribosomal RNA and internal transcribed spacer 1". The stretch from base 1 to 46 matches the Rfam family "Eukaryotic small subunit ribosomal RNA", at positions 1786 to 1831 of the family's 1831-position model. The record is from RNAcentral.